RNAcentral lists this long non-coding RNA (1004 nucleotides) under Sus scrofa (pig). RNAcentral's name for it is "lncRNA (ENSSSCG00015079087.1)". The record is from RNAcentral. Lineage: Eukaryota; Metazoa; Chordata; Mammalia; Artiodactyla; Suidae.
CGGGCUGGCCUGAGGAUGGGCUGCUCCUGAGCCGGGCCUGGUCACACGGAGACCGAAGACCUGGCCGCCGUUGUGAGCGGCCCCACCGCCCCCAGCUUGGAGGCCCGGGACUCCCAGCGUCGGAUCCCAGCCGCCCAGAGCCUGGAAGGCUGCUCCACCCGAGCCCGCGGGUGCUUGUCUGGCCAGGGCCCGGGGUGACCGCAGUGCUUCCUGGCCUUUUCCUCAGCCAGCGGCUGGGCAUGAGCACAAGCAGCCUCUCACCCCUGGGAGGCCCCCACGGGCCCCGCUGCCAUCCCCAGGCGAGGCCACGCUUCCUCCUUCAGGUCUCUGGGCGGGUCACCUCCCCAUGGAAGCUGCCAGAAGCCUCAGACCGCAGGCCCCUGCCCACACCAGCCAGGAGCCCGCCCGGGCACGGCCCAGCCCUUGUCCGCGCUAGCCACAGAUGGAUGGCCUGGCAGCAGCCCCUUCUACAGCAAGAAUCCUCACUGAGAGCCUCCUUCCCCCGACCCCGCGAGAUGUCACUACCUACUUCCACUCCGUGUCAGCCGCACGCAAGCACAGACACACAAACCAUGUGUGUGUGCCCGUGUGUCCGUCUGCAGGAUGCGUGUGCACAUGUGAACUCACGAGUGCGCCCGAGGCCGUGCUGUGCCUCGUGCACCCGUCGCACACGUGUGGAUACGAGCGCUGGGGGAGAGCCGGCAGAGGAGGCUGAGCACUUCUCCGUGGUCCCUGUACCUCUCUGCCUGGAGGCCUGGUUCUGUCUCAUUCUCGUUUCCCAGGAGGCCUCUCUGGGCCCCUUCCUGGCUGGCCUCAGGGCAUCCAAGUCGGGUGGUGUCUGCGCCGGCCCCUGCGUCCUGGGAGCGGCCAAGGCUGCUAGAAUGUGCUCUCCCCCAGCCUCUGCAGGCUUCUAGUCACACAAGGCGCCGGAGGCCAGCCUGCCUCUUUUUCCUUUGUCAGCAUCUGCUUUCUCAAUAAAGUUUUGAAAACCUCUUCUUUCCCCA